UACGUAGGGGGCAAGCGUUAUCCGGAUUUACUGGGUGUAAAGGGAGCGUAGGCGGCUUAGUAAGUCAGAAGUGAAAGCCCGGGGCUCAACCCCGGGACUGCAUUGGGAACUGCCCCGCUCGAGUGCCGGAGGGGCAGGCGGAAUUCCUAGUGUAGCGGUGAAAUGCGUAGAUAUUAGGAGGAACACCAGUGGCGAAGGCGGGUUCCUGGACAUUAACUGACGCUGAGGCACGAAGGCCAGGGGAGCGAAAGGG
Molecule: ribosomal RNA, 253 nt
Filed under: uncultured Lachnospiraceae bacterium
Lineage: Bacteria; Bacillati; Bacillota; Clostridia; Lachnospirales; Lachnospiraceae
Description: partial 16S ribosomal RNA
Rfam family: Bacterial small subunit ribosomal RNA
Source: RNAcentral